CAUGUACUCCCUUCGUUCAGAAAUGUUUGUCACAUGAAUGAAUGUAUCUAGAUGUAUUUUAGUUCUAAAUACAUUCAUAUUUAUAUAUUUACGCGACAAGUAAUUCCGGACGCAGUGAGUAUUAU
Molecule: microRNA precursor, 125 nt
Filed under: Hordeum vulgare
Lineage: Eukaryota; Viridiplantae; Streptophyta; Magnoliopsida; Poales; Poaceae
Description: microRNA MIR1122
Rfam family: MIR1120/MIR1122 microRNA precursor family
Source: RNAcentral